Molecule: ribosomal RNA, 301 nt
Filed under: uncultured bacterium
Lineage: Bacteria
Description: partial 16S ribosomal RNA
Rfam family: Bacterial small subunit ribosomal RNA
Source: RNAcentral
CAGCAGCCUCGGUAAUACGUAGGGUGCAAGCGUUAAUCGGAAUUACUGGGCGUAAAGCGUGCGCAGGCGGUUCGUUAAGACAGAUGUGAAAUCCCCGGGCUCAACCUGGGAACUGCAUUUGUGACUGUAUAGCUAGAGUACGGCAGAGGGGGAUGGAAUUCCGCGUGUAGCAGUGAAAUGCGUAGAUAUGCGGAGGAACACCGAUGGCGAAGGCAAUCCCCUGGGCCUGUACUGACGCUCAUGCACGAAAGCGUGGGGAGCAAACAGGAUUAGAUACCCGUGUAGUCCCUGUCUCUUAUAC